UUUCCGGUUGAUCCCGCCGGACCUGACUGCUAUCGGAUUGAUACUAAGCCAUGCGAGUCUUUGUAGUAAUACAAGGCAGACGGCUCAGUAACACGUAGUCAACCUACCCUAUGGACGAGAAUAAUCUCGGGAAACUGAGCAUAAUUCUCGAUAGAUCAUAAUGCCUGGAAUGGUUUAUGGUUAAAAUGAUUCGUCGCCAUAGGAUGGGACUGCGGCCUAUCAGCUUGUUGGUGAGGUAAUGGCCCACCAAGGCGAUUACAGGUACGGGCUCUGAGAGGAGAAGCCCGGAGAUGGGUACUGAGACACGGACCCAGGCCCUAUGGGGCGCAGCAGGCGAGAAAACUUUGCAAUGUGCGAAAGCACGACAAGGUUAAUCCGAGUGAUUUCUGCUAAAGAAAUCUUUUGUCAGUCAUAAAACCACUGGCGAAUAAGGGGUGGGCAAGUUCUGGUGUCAGCCGCCGCGGUAAAACCAGCACCUCAAGUGGUCAGGAUGAUUAUUGGGCCUAAAGCAUCCGUAGCCGGCUUUGUUAGUUUUCGGUUAAAUCCAUGUGCUCAACACAUGGGCUGCCGAAAAUACUGCAUGGCUAGGGAGUGGGAGAGGUAGACGGUACUCAGUAGGAAGGGGUAAAAUCCUUUGAUCUAUUGAUGACCACCUGUGGCGAAGGCGGUCUACCAGAACACGUUCGACGGUGAGGGAUGAAAGCUGGGGGAGCAAACCGGAUUAGAUACCCGGGUAGUCCCAGCUGUAAACGAUGCAGACUCGAUGAUGCAUUGGCAUAAUAGCCAGUGCGGUGUCGCAGGGAAGCCGUUAAGUCUGCCGCCUGGGAAGUACGUACGCAAGUAUGAAACUUAAAGGAAUUGGCGGGGGAGCACCACAAGGGGUGAAGCCUGCGGUUCAAUUGGAUUCAACGCCGGG
RNAcentral lists this ribosomal RNA (916 nucleotides) under uncultured archaeon. RNAcentral describes it as "SSU rRNA". It matches the Rfam family "Archaeal small subunit ribosomal RNA", at positions 1 to 922 of the family's 1478-position model. The record is from RNAcentral.